This 828-nucleotide ribosomal RNA is filed under the name Rotaria tardigrada. Its description in RNAcentral is "eukaryotic LSU rRNA". It matches the Rfam family "Eukaryotic large subunit ribosomal RNA", at positions 188 to 769 of the family's 3401-position model. Lineage: Eukaryota; Metazoa; Rotifera; Eurotatoria; Philodinida; Philodinidae. The record is from RNAcentral.
CCUUUAAUCAGGGCUUUAACCAUAGAAGGUGCUAGUCCUAUAAUCCCGAAUAGUUUGUGCUGUACAUAGUAUACCUUUCGAGUAGCGUAGUUUGAGAUUGCUACGCCAACGUGGGACGUAAACUUGUUCCAAAGCUAAAUAUUAUAACGAGACCGAUAGCGAACAAGUACCGUGAGGGAAAGUUGAAAAGCACUCUGAAGAGAGAGUUAAAUAGUACGUAAAACCGUACAGAAGAAAACGAAUGGCCGCAUUCAUCAGAUUACUUUGGAUUCAAUUCGAUCUCUAUAUGAUGGUGAUACAAGUUGAUUUGGAACUUCAACAGUCCAUCGAUUUGUUAUUGCCUAGAGUCGGAUGCAUUUUCAAAGUAUUAACUGAACCUGGAUCUAUAACAUUGAAAGCUAGUCGAAUCAGUCUAUUUUGGUAGCGAGUAUUACUCGUGUUAAAAAUAUGACUUGCAUAAAUAACAAAUUCGACUUGGCGUUAUAGGUAAACAGACAUGUUCUUUGAUUUCAGUACUUCUAGUACGGCAUGCCAUGAGCAUUGUUUGUGUCACAUGAGUAACUAAUAUCUAACCAAUAUUAGUUUUAUUCAUCGUUGAUGCUUAAUGUUUUGUGGCUGUCAAUGAAAUCGGCAAGUCUACAGGAGUUUUGAAUGCCGAGUUAUUCGACCCGUCUUGAAACACGGUCUAAGGAGUUCACUGCAUGUGCAAGAGUUCGGCUGUAUGAAAAGCCUUGCUCGUAAUGAAAGUAAAGAACAUUCUUGCAAUGUUUGAAGUGUGAUUUCUGUCAUCUGGUGCAAAUCAUGACAAUGAACGCAACACUGACAGGU